CGCGGUACCCUGACCGUGCAAAGGUAGCGUAAUCACUUGUCUUUUAAUUGAAGACCCGUAUGAAUGGCACCACGAGAGUUUAUCUGUCUCUAUUUCCCAAUCAAUGAAAUUGAUCUCCCCGUGCAGAAGCGGGAAUUAUAUUAUAAGACGAGAAGACCCUAUGGAGCUUCAAAUAAUUAAAUUAAUAAACAAAACAUUUAAAACGACAGUUCUAAACACUACAGCUUUAUUUUAAUUUAACAUUUUUGGUUGGGGCAACCAAGGGGAACAAAAAAACCCCCUCAUCGAUUAAGUACUAUAUGUACUUAAAAUAAUAGAAAGACUUUUCAAAUUUACAGAACAUCUGACGAAAUAUGACCCAAGAACCUUCUUGAUCAAUGAACCAAGUUACCCUAGGGAUAACAGCGCAAUCCUUUCCAAGAGUCCAUAUCGCCGAAAGGGCUUACGACCUCGAUGUUGGAUCAGGAU
RNAcentral lists this ribosomal RNA (468 nucleotides) under Narcine brunnea (brown numbfish). RNAcentral describes it as "partial large subunit ribosomal RNA". It matches the Rfam family "Bacterial large subunit ribosomal RNA", at positions 1932 to 2543 of the family's 2925-position model. Lineage: Eukaryota; Metazoa; Chordata; Chondrichthyes; Torpediniformes; Narcinidae. The record is from RNAcentral.